GCCUCAGUUCCUCACCACAUGGGCCUCUCCAUGGGCUGCUUGAGUGUCCUCAUGGCGUGGCAGCCAGUAAUCCAAGAGAGAGCAUGAAGCAGAAGCCCAACACAUCGCUUGUCACCUACCCUUGAAAAUGGCAUCACUUCUGCUAACAUGCUGUUGGGCAGCACCACCAUCAAGCAACCCCAGAGUGGAUCUGAGUUUGCUCUGACCUCAGGCAAGGGAGCUGGGCUUUCAGACCCCUACACCCAACACCCAUCGGCUAAUGUCUUCCCUAGAGGUGGGAGUGGGGUGUGUUAACCUCCCCGUGAGGUCAUAAACAUCCAGCUCUUUGACCUUGUGCUUUAUAAAGCGACGCUAGCAGCCCCAGAGCAGUGUUUCACCAAGACACACGGUACAAACCCAUGGAACAAAAGCACCCAGGAGCCAGAGGAGGCACAUGCAGAAACAGAGCAAAGGAUCUGCGGGGGUCUGAGCAGACAACCAGCAGUGUCUGCUGCAUUUAUAUUCACGAACGACUGGAAACGAGGAAAUGGUCUGACUGCAGGGGAUCAGCUGGACAAGCGGCUGGAGUGGUAUGCUGCCAGUGAAUCAUGCUCCUGAAGAUGGGUUAUCGCCACAGAAAUGACACAUGGGACGAGCCAGCCUCAAAUAAUCACCAUAUAAGAUACCCAAAGAAAUGGAUACAAAUUUGCAUUUAUAUUUUAUUUGCUUUAAAAUACCACUAUCUCUUUCAAGAAGAUCCAGAGGCCCAGGAGGACUGAAUGGUUUGGGGGCCAAGCCCUGGGAGCCACUACCUUGUACCACCUUGGGAGGCUGCUCCUGCAUCCCUGCUGCUUCAGCUCCAGCCGUGGCUCAAAGGGCCCCAGCAGACAAAGUCAUUACUGGAGUCGGAGCCUGUGGACAUCUAAAGAAAUACCCACAGAGGAAGCCUAAGUUGCCAUCUUUUUCCUCAUUUCUCCAACAGGAUUUAUAUCAAUUCCUUUUUUUUUCUUCCCUUAAUCUUAUUACUUUUUAACUACAGAAAAGAUUUUUAUUGCAGGAAAAUCAGAAAAUUCAGAAGAAAACAAAAAUCAUAUUUCCCCCAUUCAGAGAGGGAGAUAACUACUAUUGCAUUUUUGUUUGUUUCUUUCCCAUCAACUUUCAUGUACACAAACAUAUAGACAUUAUUAUUGUUAUUAUUAAUAUAAUUUUACAAAAAUGACAUCAAAUUCUUUAUUAUUCUCUUUUUUACUACAUAUCAAGAGUAUCUUUCCAUGCCAAUAAAUAUAGAUUGA
Non-coding RNA from Microcebus murinus (gray mouse lemur), 1271 nucleotides. NCBI's taxonomy places the organism in Eukaryota, Metazoa, Chordata, Mammalia, Primates, Cheirogaleidae. The record is from RefSeq and is a predicted model, not a curated record.